UGGGUCUGACAUCAGCCUGCUUGGGAUUUUGUGUUAUACAUCACAAGUAUGAUGAUGUCAAACCCA
RNAcentral lists this microRNA precursor (66 nucleotides) under Pelobates cultripes (western spadefoot toad). Lineage: Eukaryota; Metazoa; Chordata; Amphibia; Anura; Pelobatidae. The record is from RNAcentral.